GAUGAACGCUGGCGGCGUGCCUAAUACAUGCAAGUCGAGCGAACGGACGAGGAGCUUGCUUCUCUGAUGUUAGCGGCGGACGGGUGAGUAACACGUGGAUAACCUACCUAUAAGACUGGGAUAACUUCGGGAAACCGUAGCUAAUACCGGAUAAUAUUUUGAACCGCAUGGUUCAAAAGUGAAAGACGGUCUUGCUGUCACUUAUAGAUGGAUCCGCGCUGCAUUAGCUAGUUGGUAAGGUAACGGCUUACCAAGGCAACGAUGCAUAGCCGACCUGAGAGGGUGAUCGGCCACACUGGAACUGAGACACGGUCCAGACUCCUACGGGAGGCAGCAGUAGGGAAUCUUCCGCAAUGGGCGAAAGCCUGACGGAGCAACGCCGCGUGAGUGAUGAAGGUCUUCGGAUCGUAAAACUCUGCUAUUAGGGAAGAACAUAUGUGUAAGUAACUGUGCGCAUCUUGACGGUACCUAAUCAGAAAGCCACGGCUAACUACGUG
RNAcentral lists this ribosomal RNA (497 nucleotides) under uncultured bacterium. RNAcentral describes it as "partial 16S ribosomal RNA". It matches the Rfam family "Bacterial small subunit ribosomal RNA", at positions 28 to 507 of the family's 1533-position model. The record is from RNAcentral.